This 498-nucleotide ribosomal RNA is filed under the name uncultured bacterium. RNAcentral's name for it is "partial 16S ribosomal RNA". It matches the Rfam family "Bacterial small subunit ribosomal RNA", at positions 899 to 1397 of the family's 1533-position model. The record is from RNAcentral.
ACUCAAAUGAAUUGACGGGGGCCCGCACAAGCGGUGGAGCAUGUGGUUCAAUUCGACGCAACGCGAAGAACCUUACCUGGGUUUGAACUGCAGGCGACUGCCCCGGAAACGGGGCUUCCCUUCGGGGCGCCUGUAGAGGUGCUGCAUGGCUGUCGUCAGCUCGUGUCGUGAGAUGUUGGGUUAAGUCCCGCAACGAGCGCAACCCUUGUCCCUAGUUGCCAACGGGUCAAGCCGGGAACUCUAGGGAGACUGCCCCGGAAAACGGGGAGGAAGGUGGGGAUGACGUCAAGUCAUCAUGGCCUUUAUGUCCAGGGCUACACACGUGCUACAAUGGACGGUACAAAGGGUUGCAAAGCCGCGAGGUGGAGCCAAUCCCAAAAAGCCGUUCUCAGUUCGGAUUGCAGUCUGCAACUCGACUGCAUGAAGUUGGAAUCGCUAGUAAUCCCGGAUCAGCAUGCCGGGGUGAAUACGUUCCCGGGCCUUGCACACACCGCCCGU